Molecule: long non-coding RNA, 2593 nt
Filed under: Capra hircus (goat)
Lineage: Eukaryota; Metazoa; Chordata; Mammalia; Artiodactyla; Bovidae
Description: lncRNA (ENSCHIG00010003590.1)
Source: RNAcentral
UGUUACCACAGGUGUGGGGUGAGUGCCAGGAGGGUUACAGAGCUGAGAGUUUCCAGGGCAAGAAUGGAGUUGCAGCCCCCUGUCUCCUCCUUUGAAGUUAAUGCUCUCCUCCCCUCAGGGAUGCUCCUGAAUUUUGCCAUUUCCACUCUAUGCUCCAUAGCUAAUCCUAUACUUUCUGUUCCUUAUAAACUCAUUCACUGAUUCCAGAAACGUUUACUGAGGACCCCGGCCCACCAGGACUUGACCUAGUGAUGGUUUCAUCUCCAGGCCAAACUGGAAGGAGAGCAAAGACCUGCCAUCACCGGGCUAAUGAGGGUGUUUUGUGUCUGUCUCUCCUGCAGAUUCUGAGCCCCGUCUCAGCAUCAUGGCCUCUGAGCCUGGACCACAGUGGCCUUUCAUCCGCAGAGCUCUCUGCACCCUUGAGGUUCUCCUGGGGCUUUCUGCCCACGUGCAGAUGUUUGCCAAAUCACGGAACAGGAACAGUCCAACUUUCAAGAGACGGGCAUGUCCUCCCUAUCAAUAUCACUGGCGACUCACACUCCUUGCUCAGGAAAUCACUUCAGGACCGCCUUUUCCAUUUGGAACUACGGAGAUCUGGGCUUUUGUCUGUUCUCUGGAAUUCUCUGGGGUCUUUCUGCUCCCUGCCUUUGUCACAGCACAGACCAUUCAGAAAGUCAGAGGAGGGCUGUGCAACAGAUAUCAGUUGGCCACUGUUGAUUCAUGGAGCUGCUGUGCUGACAGGGGCAUGGGUGGAGGGGUAGAAGGGGGCCUGCCCUGUAUCCUGCUGGCACUAAGCUGAUGGAUCCCUGCUGCCCACCCCCAGGGAUCGUCACACGUAGUGGGGACAGGCGGCUAGUGUGGCUCACCUGUUCACCCCCACACCCCAAGAAGCAGGCGUUUCUGUGGUGAACUCAAAGAUUCUGAGUUUAUGGUUUUGUGCUCAGUAUUACUUGACCAUUUCUCUUGACAAGCCCUUAGCAUGAUAAAAUAGUGACUCCUUCUGGUAAGCUGAAAACAAAGAGAAAUUUCCAUUUCCAAAGCCAGGCUCUUUGUUUGUGUUUUUGAACAACAAACAAGCAGGGGGCUCCAGCCUGCUGAGGUCACCCAGGGUCAUCCAUGGGCAUCGGUGACAUGAGGAAGCCUUUAAUCCGAGCCUAAGGGAUGCACUUAAUGAGGUCAAAGCAGCUGGACACUUCUCUGCAGUGGAACAUAGCUUGUACUAACAUUCGGUGCUAACCCUCCUAACUGAAAGUGUGGUCCAGGGACCAGGAGCAUCACCACCACCUGCGAGAUGGUUAGAAAUGCAGACGCUCCAGUCAAACACACCUGUUGAAUCGGAAUGUGCUCCUGAACAAGUUGCUCAGAGGACUCAUUCNNNNNNNNNNNNNNNNNNNNNNNNNNNNNNNNNNNNNNNNNNNNNNNNNNNNNNNNNNNNNNNNNNNNNNNNNNNNNNNNNNNNNNNNNNNNNNNNNNNGCUCCUGAACAAGUUGCUCAGAGGACUCAUUCGCUGGCUAAAGAGGUGCUACUUUCACAACCUUGAAGCUGAGGUCGGGGUAGGGAGGCAGGGAAGUGGACAUCACUCCAGCUGCUGAGAACAAGCCCUAGCUACUUAGUGGAGACAGAACCCUGCCGCUCUUACCCUCCUGCAGCCCUGAUGGGCGGCUGCCUUGGCCUUACCUUUUCCAGGUGAGGGUCAUGAUACACCCAAGCGCAUACAGCCAGGAUCUGGUUUCCCAGGGUCUCCCAAGCUCCUGAUCCGGGCCUGUGCUGAUGAAGAACAGUGGACACUGAGGGCUCCUGCCUCUCCUGCCUCUGGCUUCCUGUGCAGUGAGCCGAGGGUGGGAGGGGCACUUGGGGUCCCACCAAGAGCCUGGCUGCAGGAGGUCCCUGGGGCUUGGUGCAAGCAGAGAAGGGGAUGAACUCAGCUCACCUGCCCCUCUACAUCUUGUCCCAUCGUCUGUGAGGUGCCUGGACCCUGGGGGUGCCUGCUGGGGAAGAUCCUCUUCCACCUGUCACACCUGGGACUUGAGGCCACAAAUGGCCAAUUAGGUGAGACUUGGGCUCUGAGUGCACUGGGCCUCACAACUCCCUGGUUCCCAGGAAGCUGCAGUCCUGAGGCCAAUCUUCCCCUGACCCCCCUCGGCCCAAGGCAGGGGAGGCGGGAAGCCUGAGGUUCUCAGGAAGCAGUGGGGGGCCAGCAGGGGAGGAACACAAGUUAGAGGGACCCAGUGCGCCUCCUCUGAAAAGUCUCCCCAGGCAGCCGGUGUGAUCUGGCCUCAGCCCCUGCUCUCCUCCACCUCCACCCUGUGUAGUGAUGAGGAGGGUGGCAUGCAGGAAAUACUUCCCUGGGGCAGCAGCACAGCUGUCUCUGUGCUUCAUGGGGUCACGCACUCAGUCCAUAACGAGUAAAGGUAUCUGUUUAAAAAAUAUUUUAAUUUGGAAUAGAAAUAAAAACCAAAGGACAAAGGUAAAGACAGUAUAUAAAUAAAAGCCUGAAAAAGUUGUGUCACAAACAUUCUAAGAAAAGAAUGCUGAUGUGGCUCAAUAAUCAUUACACAAAGUAGGGUUCAGGGAAAAAAGUUUAUAAAGAGGC